This 144-nucleotide ribosomal RNA is filed under the name Thiothrix sp. Its description in RNAcentral is "partial 16S ribosomal RNA". It matches the Rfam family "Bacterial small subunit ribosomal RNA", at positions 1 to 138 of the family's 1533-position model. The record is from RNAcentral. Lineage: Bacteria; Pseudomonadati; Pseudomonadota; Gammaproteobacteria; Thiotrichales; Thiotrichaceae.
UUUAACUGAAGAGUUUGAUCCUGGCUCAGAUUGAACGCUGGCGGCAUGCCUAACACAUGCAAGUCGAACGGUAACAGGCAGAGCUUGCUCUGUGCUGACGAGUGGCGGACGGGUGCGUAACACGUAGGAAUCUGCCUAGUAGUU